UAGGGAAUCUUCCGCAAUGGACGCAAGUCUGACGGAGCAACGCCGCGUGAGUGAAGAAGGUUUUCGGAUCGUAAAGCUCUGUUGUUAAGGAAGAACGAGUGUGAGAAUGGAAAGUUCAUGCUGUGACGGUACUUAACCAGAAAGGGACGGCUAACUACGUGCCAGCAGCCGCGGUAAUACGUAGGUCCCGAGCGUUGUCCGGAUUUAUUGGGUGUAAAGCGAGCGCAGGCGGUUAGAAAAGUCUGAAGUGAAAGGCAGUGGCUCAACCAUUGUAGGCUUUGGAAACUGUUUAACUUGAGUGCAGAAGGGGAGAGUGGAAUUCCAUGUGUAGCGGUGAAAUGCGUAGAUAUAUGGAGGAACACCGGUGGCGAAAGCGGCUCUCUGGUCUGUAACUGACGCUGAGGCUCGAAAGCGUGGGGAGCGAACAGG
This 429-nucleotide ribosomal RNA is filed under the name Bacteroidota bacterium. RNAcentral's name for it is "Bacteroidetes bacterium partial 16S ribosomal RNA". It matches the Rfam family "Bacterial small subunit ribosomal RNA", at positions 355 to 776 of the family's 1533-position model. The record is from RNAcentral. Lineage: Bacteria; Pseudomonadati; Bacteroidota.